Molecule: ribosomal RNA, 2901 nt
Filed under: Escherichia coli O169:H41
Lineage: Bacteria; Pseudomonadati; Pseudomonadota; Gammaproteobacteria; Enterobacterales; Enterobacteriaceae
Description: bacterial LSU rRNA
Rfam family: Bacterial large subunit ribosomal RNA
Source: RNAcentral
UUAAGCGACUAAGCGUACACGGUGGAUGCCCUGGCAGUCAGAGGCGAUGAAGGACGUGCUAAUCUGCGAUAAGCGUCGGUAAGGUGAUAUGAACCGUUAUAACCGGCGAUUUCCGAAUGGGGAAACCCAGUGUGAUUUGUCACACUAUUAUUAACUGAAUCCAUAGGUUAAUGAGGCGAACCGGGGGAACUGAAACAUCUAAGUACCCCGAGGAAAAGAAAUCAACCGAGAUUCCCCCAGUAGCGGCGAGCGAACGGGGAGGAGCCCAGAGCCUGAAUCAGUGUGUGUGUUAGUGGAAGCGUCUGGAAAGGCGCGCGAUACAGGGUGACAGCCCCGUACACAAAAAUGCACAUACUGUGAGCUCGAUGAGUAGGGCGGGACACGUGGUAUCCUGUCUGAAUAUGGGGGGACCAUCCUCCAAGGCUAAAUACUCCUGACUGACCGAUAGUGAACCAGUACCGUGAGGGAAAGGCGAAAAGAACCCCGGCGAGGGGAGUGAAAAAGAACCUGAAACCGUGUACGUACAAGCAGUGGGAGCCUCUUUUAUGGGGUGACUGCGUACCUUUUGUAUAAUGGGUCAGCGACUUAUAUUCUGUAGCAAGGUUAACCGAAUAGGGGAGCCGAAGGGAAACCGAGUCUUAACUGGGCGUUAAGUUGCAGGGUAUAGACCCGAAACCCGGUGAUCUAGCCAUGGGCAGGUUGAAGGUUGGGUAACACUAACUGGAGGACCGAACCGACUAAUGUUGAAAAAUUAGCGGAUGACUUGUGGCUGGGGGUGAAAGGCCAAUCAAACCGGGAGAUAGCUGGUUCUCCCCGAAAGCUAUUUAGGUAGCGCCUCGUGAAUUCAUCUCCGGGGGUAGAGCACUGUUUCGGCAAGGGGGUCAUCCCGACUUACCAACCCGAUGCAAACUGCGAAUACCGGAGAAUGUUAUCACGGGAGACACACGGCGGGUGCUAACGUCCGUCGUGAAGAGGGAAACAACCCAGACCGCCAGCUAAGGUCCCAAAGUCAUGGUUAAGUGGGAAACGAUGUGGGAAGGCCCAGACAGCCAGGAUGUUGGCUUAGAAGCAGCCAUCAUUUAAAGAAAGCGUAAUAGCUCACUGGUCGAGUCGGCCUGCGCGGAAGAUGUAACGGGGCUAAACCAUGCACCGAAGCUGCGGCAGCGACACUGUGUGUUGUUGGGUAGGGGAGCGUUCUGUAAGCCUGCGAAGGUGUGCUGUGAGGCAUGCUGGAGGUAUCAGAAGUGCGAAUGCUGACAUAAGUAACGAUAAAGCGGGUGAAAAGCCCGCUCGCCGGAAGACCAAGGGUUCCUGUCCAACGUUAAUCGGGGCAGGGUGAGUCGACCCCUAAGGCGAGGCCGAAAGGCGUAGUCGAUGGGAAACAGGUUAAUAUUCCUGUACUUGGUGUUACUGCGAAGGGGGGACGGAGAAGGCUAUGUUGGCCGGGCGACGGUUGUCCCGGUUUAAGCGUGUAGGCUGGUUUUCCAGGCAAAUCCGGAAAAUCAAGGCUGAGGCGUGAUGACGAGGCACUACGGUGCUGAAGCAACAAAUGCCCUGCUUCCAGGAAAAGCCUCUAAGCAUCAGGUAACAUCAAAUCGUACCCCAAACCGACACAGGUGGUCAGGUAGAGAAUACCAAGGCGCUUGAGAGAACUCGGGUGAAGGAACUAGGCAAAAUGGUGCCGUAACUUCGGGAGAAGGCACGCUGAUAUGUAGGUGAAGCGACUUGCUCGUGGAGCUGAAAUCAGUCGAAGAUACCAGCUGGCUGCAACUGUUUAUUAAAAACACAGCACUGUGCAAACACGAAAGUGGACGUAUACGGUGUGACGCCUGCCCGGUGCCGGAAGGUUAAUUGAUGGGGUCAGCGCAAGCGAAGCUCUUGAUCGAAGCCCCGGUAAACGGCGGCCGUAACUAUAACGGUCCUAAGGUAGCGAAAUUCCUUGUCGGGUAAGUUCCGACCUGCACGAAUGGCGUAAUGAUGGCCAGGCUGUCUCCACCCGAGACUCAGUGAAAUUGAACUCGCUGUGAAGAUGCAGUGUACCCGCGGCAAGACGGAAAGACCCCGUGAACCUUUACUAUAGCUUGACACUGAACAUUGAGCCUUGAUGUGUAGGAUAGGUGGGAGGCUUUGAAGUGUGGACGCCAGUCUGCAUGGAGCCGACCUUGAAAUACCACCCUUUAAUGUUUGAUGUUCUAACGUGGACCCGUGAUCCGGGUUGCGGACAGUGUCUGGUGGGUAGUUUGACUGGGGCGGUCUCCUCCUAAAGAGUAACGGAGGAGCACGAAGGUUGGCUAAUCCUGGUCGGACAUCAGGAGGUUAGUGCAAUGGCAUAAGCCAGCUUGACUGCGAGCGUGACGGCGCGAGCAGGUGCGAAAGCAGGUCAUAGUGAUCCGGUGGUUCUGAAUGGAAGGGCCAUCGCUCAACGGAUAAAAGGUACUCCGGGGAUAACAGGCUGAUACCGCCCAAGAGUUCAUAUCGACGGCGGUGUUUGGCACCUCGAUGUCGGCUCAUCACAUCCUGGGGCUGAAGUAGGUCCCAAGGGUAUGGCUGUUCGCCAUUUAAAGUGGUACGCGAGCUGGGUUUAGAACGUCGUGAGACAGUUCGGUCCCUAUCUGCCGUGGGCGCUGGAGAACUGAGGGGGGCUGCUCCUAGUACGAGAGGACCGGAGUGGACGCAUCACUGGUGUUCGGGUUGUCAUGCCAAUGGCACUGCCCGGUAGCUAAAUGCGGAAGAGAUAAGUGCUGAAAGCAUCUAAGCACGAAACUUGCCCCGAGAUGAGUUCUCCCUGACUCCUUGAGAGUCCUGAAGGAACGUUGAAGACGACGACGUUGAUAGGCCGGGUGUGUAAGCGCAGCGAUGCGUUGAGCUAACCGGUACUAAUGAACCGUGAGGCUUAACCUU